AGACGUAGGAGGCGAGCGUUAUCCGGAUUUAUUGGGCGUAAAGGGCAAGUAGGCGGUUGUCAAAGUUGGGCGUGACAACUCCCGGCUCAACUGGGAGGGUGCGUUCAAAACUAGGCAACUAGAGGGCAGGAGAGGGAAGUGGAAUUCCCAGUGUAGCGGUGGAAUGCUCAGAUAUUGGGAAGAACACCAGUGGCGAAGGCGGCUUCCUGGCCUGCACCUGACGCUGAGAGGCGAAAGCUAGGGUAGCAAACGGGCUUAGAUACCCCGGUAGUCCUAGCCGUAAACGUUGGAUACUAGGUAUUGGGGGAGGAGAGUCUCUCAGUGCCGAAGCAAACGCGAUAAGUAUCCCGCCUGGGGACUACGGCCGCAAGGUUAAA
This 377-nucleotide ribosomal RNA is filed under the name uncultured bacterium. RNAcentral describes it as "bacterial SSU rRNA". It matches the Rfam family "Bacterial small subunit ribosomal RNA", at positions 523 to 898 of the family's 1533-position model. The record is from RNAcentral.